Molecule: ribosomal RNA, 253 nt
Filed under: uncultured bacterium
Lineage: Bacteria
Description: partial 16S ribosomal RNA
Rfam family: Bacterial small subunit ribosomal RNA
Source: RNAcentral
UACGAAGGGGGCUAGCGUUGCUCGGAAUGACUGGGCGUAAAGGGCGCGUAGGCGGAUGGUACAGUCAGAUGUGAAAUUCCUGGGCUUAACCUGGGGGCUGCAUUUGAUACGUGUGAUCUAGAGUGAGGAAGAGGGUUGUGGAAUUCCCAGUGUAGAGGUGAAAUUCGUAGAUAUUAGGAAGAACACCAGUGGCGAAGGCGGCGACCUGGUCCUUAACUGACGCUGAGGCGCGAAAGCGUGGGGAGCAAACAGG